UACGAAGGGGGCGAGCGUUGUUCGGAUUUACUGGGCGUAAAGGGCGCGCAGGCGGCAGACCAAGUCAGGCGUGAAAGCCCCGGGCUUAACCUGGGAGGUGCGUCUGGGACUGGUAUGCUAGAGUUCGGGAGAGGAGAGUGGAAUUCCCAGUGUAGAGGUGAAAUUCGUAGAUAUUGGGAAGAACACCGGUGGCGAAGGCGGCUCUCUGGACCGAGACUGACGCUGAGGCGCGAAAGUGUGGGGAGCGAACAGG
This 253-nucleotide ribosomal RNA is filed under the name uncultured bacterium. RNAcentral describes it as "partial 16S ribosomal RNA". It matches the Rfam family "Bacterial small subunit ribosomal RNA", at positions 524 to 776 of the family's 1533-position model. The record is from RNAcentral.